RNAcentral lists this ribosomal RNA (427 nucleotides) under uncultured Neisseriaceae bacterium. RNAcentral describes it as "bacterial SSU rRNA". It matches the Rfam family "Bacterial small subunit ribosomal RNA", at positions 355 to 774 of the family's 1533-position model. The record is from RNAcentral. Lineage: Bacteria; Pseudomonadati; Pseudomonadota; Betaproteobacteria; Neisseriales; Neisseriaceae.
UGGGGAAUUUUGGACAAUGGGGGGAACCCUGAUCCAGCCAUGCCGCGUGUCUGAAGAAGGCCUUCGGGUUGUAAAGGACUUUUGUACGGGAAGAAAGGGUUUGUGCUAACACCACGAACAUAUGACGGUACCGUAAGAAUAAGCACCGGCUAACUACGUGCCAGCAGCCGCGGUAAUACGUAGGGUGCGAGCGUUAAUCGGAAUUACUGGGCGUAAAGCGGGCGCAGACGGUUACUUAAGCAGGAUGUGAAAUCCCCGAGCUCAACUUGGGAACUGCGUUCUGAACUGGGUAACUAGAGUGUGUCAGAGGGGGGUAGAAUUCCACGUGUAGCAGUGAAAUGCGUAGAGAUGUGGAGGAAUACCGAUGGCGAAGGCAGCCCCCUGGGAUAACACUGACGUUCAAGCCCGAAAGCGUGGGUAGCAAACA